This is a non-coding RNA of Lepisosteus oculatus (spotted gar), 46 nucleotides long. The record is from Rfam. Lineage: Eukaryota; Metazoa; Chordata; Actinopteri; Semionotiformes; Lepisosteidae.
AUAUAGGUUUCAUUAGAAACCAUUUCCUUAACAUGAUACAAGGUGG